GAUGAACGCUAGCUACAGGCUUAACACAUGCAAGUCGAGGGACCGGCGAAAGGGUGAGUAAAACGUAUCCAACCUGCCCUUUCCUCGGUGAUAGCCUUUCGAAAGAAAGAUUAAUACCCGAUAUAAAGGAUGGUGAGGCGUUCGAUUAGCUUGUUGGUGUGGUAUCGGCUAACCAAGCCUUCGAUGGCUAGGGGUUCUGGUAGGAAGGUACCCCAGAAUGGAAAUGAGACACGGACCAAACUGCUACGAGAGGCAGCAGUGAGGAAGAUUGGUCAAUGGGUGCUAGCCUGAACCAGCCAAGGAGCGUGAAGGAUGAAGGCUUAUGGAUCCUAAACUGCUUUUAUAUAAGAAUAUGUAUUAUAUGAAUAAGGAUCGGCUAACUCCGUGCCAGCAGCCGCGGUAAUUC
This 406-nucleotide ribosomal RNA is filed under the name uncultured bacterium. RNAcentral's name for it is "partial 16S ribosomal RNA". It matches the Rfam family "Bacterial small subunit ribosomal RNA", at positions 28 to 526 of the family's 1533-position model. The record is from RNAcentral.